Molecule: ribosomal RNA, 496 nt
Filed under: uncultured bacterium
Lineage: Bacteria
Description: partial 16S ribosomal RNA
Rfam family: Bacterial small subunit ribosomal RNA
Source: RNAcentral
AUGAACGCUGGCGGCGUGCCUAAUACAUGCAAGUCGAGCGAACAGACGAGGAGCUUGCUCCUCUGACGUUAGCGGCGGACGGGUGAGUAACACGUGGAUAACCUACCUAUAAGACUGGGAUAACUUCGGGAAACCGGAGCUAAUACCGGAUAAUAUAUUGAACCGCAUGGUUCAAUAGUGAAAGACGGUUUUGCUGUCACUUAUAGAUGGAUCCGCGCCGCAUUAGCUAGUUGGUAAGGUAACGGCUUACCAAGGCAACGAUGCGUAGCCGACCUGAGAGGGUGAUCGGCCACACUGGAACUGAGACACGGUCCAGACUCCCACGGGAGGCAGCAGUAGGGAAUCUUCCGCAAUGGGCGAAAGCCUGACGGAGCAACGCCGCGUGAGUGAUGAAGGUCUUCGGAUCGUAAAACUCUGUUAUUAGGGAAGAACAAAUGUGUAAGUAACUAUGCACGUCUUGACGGUACCUAAUCAGAAAGCCACGGCUAACUACGUG